Molecule: long non-coding RNA, 2007 nt
Filed under: Homo sapiens (human)
Lineage: Eukaryota; Metazoa; Chordata; Mammalia; Primates; Hominidae
Description: non-protein coding lnc-PGGT1B-1:2
Source: RNAcentral
AUCUUUCAGACCUUUAAUCUCUGUAUAUAGAGAUAUAGAAAUAGAGAAUAUUCUUUAAAUAUCUGAACAUUUAAGUAUUACUCAUCCCAAUACAAUAUAUACUUAUACAAAUAGAUAUAUGUAUGUAUACUAUACAUAAAGAUCUGAGGUACUAAAUAUUCCAUGGUUUUUUUUCAUUCAACAAUGUAUUAUGAAUGCCUUUCAAUAGCCAUACUUUAAUAGUUGCAUAGUAUCACGUUGCAUAAACAUAUUAGGUCAGUGCAUAAGUAAUUGCACUUUUUACCAUUUUAAUGGCAAAUGAGGCACUGAUUAAUCAGUGCCUUAUUUUUCACAACUACAAAAAUAUUGCUGUGAGAUCCUUGAAAAUGUAUAAUUGCCCAUUUGCAUGUUUCUUUAAAUUUAUAGAUAAGGAAUUACUGGGGCAAAAAGUGUGCACAAUUUAAAUUUGAUGUUUUUGUUUUUGCCAAGCUGCUUUUUAAGAAGGUUGUACUAAUGCACACUUUUAUCUUGACACUAAGAUUUUAAAUAUGAUCAGAAAAUGGGUUUCUGAUAGUAAAACUGUCUACUUGUAAUAAUUGUGGCAUUAGAAAAGACCUUUGUGGCUUCGUUCCUCAAACUCAUUUACGAAUUAUAAAUCUGAAUUCCAAAUAUGAAUUAACUCACACAAGAUAAAGCUUUAACAGUUAGUAGCAGUACUGUAACUAGAGUGCAUGUUUUCUGUCUCCAGAAAUAACAUUCUUUUUAUGCCACAUUUUUUUAACUGAGGUGAUCAUUCUCCACCCUCUUCUUUCCAUGUUUUUCCAUGUUUGUUCAAACUUUUCAUUAAAUAUCUUGAGGCUCUAACUAAAUUAAGGGUGGCCAUUAAAAUUGUAUGUGGGAUUCCCUGAACCAACUGGUAAUGCACUACCAGCAUAUAAGGUGUCCUCAUUAAAGCAGUUGGUGAUUGGUACAUGGGACCUCACUCAUGUAUGUUUGCAUCUACUUGUGAGUCAAAAAGUUUUCUUAAAGUAUAGGUGGGAUCAUGAAAGACAUACAAUUCACUGGAGAUCUUGUCAUUUAAGUUUCAGCAAUUGAGUACCACACUAGAACACCCACAAAUGAGAUUCUGUUACAGAGUAUCUUUUUUCUACUACAGAACAUACUGUAGACAGUUAUUCAGUGGUUAACUUGUGGAAAUAAUCAGAAGAUGCUUUUCACUUUUAUGACUGGAUAUAUUUUAAUAUUUAUCAUAUUAAGAGAAACUUAGGUUACUUACAGCUCAUAAACGUUGCUAUGAACAUCAUUCAUUUAUUCACUUAUUUAUUUUUAUGGUGUUCCUAGAAAGAAUUUCCUGGACUAAAGGAUUUAUGCUUUAAAAAUAUUGGUAGUUACUGCCAAGAAUUGCCAUCCAGAAACAGUGUAGCCAUUCAUAAACUCAACAACAAGGUAUGAGAGUGCCUGUUUCCUCAUAUCCUUUGUGACACCGGAUUUUAUCAAGCUUAAAGUUUUUUCAUUCUAGGUGGGUGAAAAUGGUAUUCCGUUAUUGAUAAUGUGUGGAAAUCAAGUUCUAAUAAGUUUGGGGGGAGGUUAAUUCUUUAUAUGUGCUGUAUGAAUUAAUGCCAACUGUAUGCCUUUGAGAGUGAAAUCAGAAUAAUGUCUCUCCACUAAAGCAGGACUUAGAGCACUAGUUUUCCAAAUGUUGUCUACAGAUGGAAACACUAGCAUCACCUGGGUACUCGUUAGAAAGUGCAGAUUCUCUGGCGGUACCUUAGACCUCCUGAAUUAGAAACUCUGGGGGUAGGGUUAGACAUUUGUGUUUUAAACAAGCCCUCCAAGUGGUUUCAAUGCACAUUCAAAGUUGAGAACCAAUCACUGAUAGAGAAAAAGCAGCUUGGGUAGAAACAGUUGAUUAUUUGCAAAUUUAUAUUUUAAAAAGAUAGGAUUCUUAACAGUAAGCUCUUUAUAAUUCAACAAUGUGAUCUUUACUCCUACCCCCGAAAAACUAAUAUGAUUUUAGUGUGUGGUAGC